UACGCAGGUGGCAAGCGUUGUCCGGAAUUAUUGGGCGUAAAGCGCGCGCAGGCGGUCCUUUAAGUCUGAUGUGAAAGCCCACGGCUCAACCGUGGAGGGUCAUUGGAAACUGGGGGACUUGAGUGCAGGAGAGAAGAGUGGAAUUCCACGUGUAGCGGUGAAAUGCGUAGAGAUGUGGAGGAACACCAGCGGCGAAGGCGACUCUUUGGUCUGUAACUGACGCUGAGGCGCGAAAGCGUGGGGAGCAAACAGG
RNAcentral lists this ribosomal RNA (253 nucleotides) under uncultured bacterium. RNAcentral's name for it is "partial 16S ribosomal RNA". It matches the Rfam family "Bacterial small subunit ribosomal RNA", at positions 524 to 776 of the family's 1533-position model. The record is from RNAcentral.